AUUUUUAUAGUGUAAACAAACAUAUUACAUUUUCAUUGUAAAGCUGAAACUAUUUUUCUAAAAAUU
Molecule: transfer RNA, 66 nt
Filed under: Lyreidus brevifrons
Lineage: Eukaryota; Metazoa; Arthropoda; Malacostraca; Decapoda; Lyreididae
Description: tRNA-Glu
Source: RNAcentral